This 4222-nucleotide long non-coding RNA is filed under the name Heterocephalus glaber (naked mole-rat). RNAcentral describes it as "lncRNA (ENSHGLG00100048416.1)". The record is from RNAcentral. Lineage: Eukaryota; Metazoa; Chordata; Mammalia; Rodentia; Bathyergidae.
GGGGUUCCUCAGCUUCCCGGUCGCUGGGUGGGUGCUAAUCUUGCCUUCCAUCCUGGUGUUUGGGCCAGGCUUCGCACACUGGGUCCCCAAUCCAUUGCUGAACUGUGCAUUCUCAGCCCAUUUCACAGAUGAGGAAACUGACUCCCAAAUCCGGAUUCAUGCAGUCAUAUCCUGCAGGUCUCAGAUUGAAAAUUGCCUUCAUAUCAGCUAACAUAAAUGCUCAUAGUUACGGAGACGUAAACAGGCAUUCUGUGAGUGCCGAGAGUUCUCCAGGGGAACACAAGGUUUUAAGGAAAUCAUCUGGCGGGUCUGCAAUCUCAGCUGCUCAGGAAGAUCGCAAGUUGGAGGCCAGCCUGGGUAGAGCACUUGCCUAGCACUUGCAAGCCCCUCGGUUCAAUCCCCAGUACCAACAAAAAACAAAACAAAAAAAAGAGAAACAGCUGUCAGAGCCAGUUGUCUUCUGCCCAGUGCCACAUCUUAAAACUUUUGAGAAAGUGGAAAUCCAGAUAUUUUAAAUAUAAACAUUUUUCAAUACUCAAAAAGUUUUUAAUUAUACAGGCCAACUGAAACAUUUAUAUAGGCUGAAUUCACUCUUGUGCCUCCAAUUUGCAACUGUAACCAGCACAGCAAAAAUGGAACUUUAAGUUAGCUUUUUUUCUUUUUAGAGAUAAGCAGCUUCUCCAACUUCCUCCUACAAGCACAUAACUAAUACCCCCUCCUCUCUUCUGCCCAAAAGAAACGACAGAUUAUGCAGAUGCCAGAAGGCCAGGAGCCUGGUUUCUUUUCCACAAGAGAAAGAUAAGCUGAAGAUGGCUGGAAAUGAGAAACCAAGUGUAAAGAUCUGCAUUGUCUUUUUGGUCCCCUUCCCCUCUGUUUAAAAGACCCUUCCCACCUGUGAACAGUAGGAUGGUGAUCUGAGGCAAAUAGGCCCCUCUAUCUCCUCAGAGUUAGCUUUGAGUAAAUCCUUAUUUCCUUCCAAAGGUAGAAUCUGCCCCCCAAAAAAGUGUAUAUACUUGAUACGGCUUGUGUUUAGAUGUCCUCCCAAAGCAUGCUUUUUCAGAGGUGGCUGAAUCUAGAGUAUGUGAUUGCUAGUGGUGAGGCUAGGCCCAAGGGCACUAGGGAUUAAGGGCAUGAGUGCUACCUGCCCUAAGUAGUCUGAAUUAAAAGGGCCAGAAAGACGCUGUUAAGUCCCUUGUUGCUUUUGCUACCUUGUGGGUGCCAUGAACUGUUGCCCCUCUGCGAUCCCCCUCUGCCAUGUGCCACCCUGCCUUGGAGCCAGCAGAUUAUGGACUGAAACCUCUAUGAACUGUAAGCCAAACAAACCUUUUCCCCUUUAACUUUAGGUGCUAGAAAUUUUGUCUCAACAAUGAAAGAAAAAUAACUAACACAACACUUCAGCAGUUUGCCGUACUAGUAAAUGUCUGGAAGCUAAUGGCUGCCACUUUGAGCACCUCUUGUAAUUGUAGAGGCUAAAGAUAACUUGUUUAAUAUAAAUAACUUCUUUAAUAACUUGAUUAAUAUCUCAUAAUGUCUCAAUAAGUUUAGUGUUAAAAUAUACAAGUUUUUCUUUUCCUGAUAUAUACAUGUUUUUGGCCGACUCUAUAUCCUUUGAUUUGGUCCAAUGUGAGAAGAUGAACCUGAAUAUAUGAGCCUAAACUCAACCACUAUUUUAAAGAUAUAUUAUGGAAUAAGAGUCUGGGACAAAGUAUGAAUACAUACCUUCACCAAGGUAAUAUUCCUUAAUCUUUCUCUCGGUGUUCACAGAUCAUUUAAGCCCAUUUGGCCUCAUGGUCAACAAUAAAACAAUCUUUUUUUUUUUUUUUUUUUUUAGCAGUGUUUUUAAAAAGUCAUGGGCCAGGGAUUUAGCUCAGUGGUUUCACCGCCUGCUGCGCAAGCGCAAGGACCAGAGUUCAAUCCCUGGUACCAAAAUAAAUAAAUAAAUUAAUUAAUUAAUUAAUUAAAUUAAAAAGUCGUGAAAGCUGGAAAAACAGAAGCAAACUUGAGGUCACUUUGCACAUUCUUGACCCAAAGGUCUACUGUAUUUCAGAUGGGAAGAAGAGGCUCUUGACCUAGUAACUUACAUUACUACUUGGGCCGGGGAUUUAGCUCAGUGGUUUUGGCUGCCUGCUGCGCAAGCGCAAGGACCCGAGUUCAAUCCCCGGUACCAAAAAAAACAAACAAACAAAACUUACAUUACUACUCGUCAUUUGUACUUCACACAAUCACAAGGAACAUGAGAGAUGACCAUGGGGGUUCUUAGGCCCCCUCUAGGAUUUUCCGCUUCUAACUCCUUUGACUUGAAGACUCCCUGCUACGUUAGUACCCAUACUGUUAGGAAAGGCUUCACCCACUUUGUUCUUCAUAGCAGCUUUGACUAUUUCCAGCCCUUUUCUGGACAGGCUCUCAUUUCGAAUGAGAGCAAUGGCCAGUGAAAUGAAACUAGAAGAGCAGAACACCGCCGCCUGCCUUGUAAGCUGAAGGACCUGAGUUCGAUUCCCAGAACCAAUAAAACAAAAAACAAAAAGAGCAGAGCACCAUAUUCUGGACAGAAGGUCUAAAUGAGGAAGGGGAAAAAAGGCAAAGCUUCCCAGGUGCAAUGGCACCUGGCUGCAAUCCCAGUGUAAGACCGAGGGCCUUACCAAACGCUCUGAGGAGCUGACUGCAGUGAAGCACACCCGGGAAUCCCAGCGGUGCCUCCAAAAUGUAAGACCGAGGGCCUUACCAAACGCUCCAAGAAGCUGACUGCAGCGAAGAACACCCGGGAAGGAACACACCGGACAAGUUGGAAAGUAAAACAGACCUUAGUCUGGCCAGACGGCACUCCCAAAGCAAAGUAGCUUAGAGAGGCAACUAGCCCAGAGUCCGAGGCUCUUUUAUAGGGGGUUGCAGGGGAAGUUAACAGGUGAAAUUUACAGAAGAGGAACAAAGGUUAGUGGUCAGCUGACACGUACUGAUGGUCAGCAGAUGUUUGUAGAUUGUUCUGUAGAUAGCGGUGUUCAGAACAUCAGUUUCGAACAAAGAGUUGAGUAAUUUACUUUGGGACCUUAUGGCUGAUACAGAUCUUAUCUAGUGUCCCACAAGCAUCUUUAUCUAUUUAUUUACAUUUACAGUUGGGGCUAGGGGAGUUUUAUGAUUACAGAGUUAUGCAGUCCCACAUCAGACACUUAGGAUGCUGAACCAGGAGGAUCACAAGAUGUCAAGAGCCAUUCUACAUAAGUUUUGGGGAAAAAUCAUUUCAUAAUUAAAGUAUGACUAUAGCUAAGGGCCAAUGUUACCUUGCCCGUAAGCCAGCUAUGGCAUGCAGAAACAUAACUGUGUUUCGCCUCCAGUCUCAGCUGAGGCCUCAAUGGUUCCCUGAUGCUGUGGCAAUCAAGGGCAAGAUUACAUCAGCUGAAGGGGCUGGGGAUUUAGAUCAGCGGGCACCACGCCUGCCUUAGAAGCACAAGGUCCUGAGUUUGAUCCCCGGUACCCACCCCCCCAAAGAGUACAUCAGCUGAAGACUUCCUGGUUCUUUGAGAACAGAGUAGCAGUACAAAAAGAGAAACCUGAGGAGGGAAGAAUUCCUUAUCAGCUUAACUCAUCCCACUUAAUGUUGUAGAAAUGCUUUCCUUUCUGCCCUCCUCAGCAUAAGAGUUGCAUCAACAUAGGAUCACCGCUGCCCCCUAGUCACCCAAUACUCUCUCCAGUUAUUGUGUGUACCCAAUAAAUGACGGCUAGCUCAGAGUGCUUGUCUUUGCGCACUCAGGCACUGACCUCCUGGACCCCCCCCAUAUACUUUGAAAUUAUGCAAGUUUGUGUUAUCUUUUUUUUCUUUAGCCCUCGCCUUCCCCUUUUCUAGGCAGUUGGAGGAUUGAUUGGCCUCUGAUAACAAGAUCAAUGCCAGCCUGGGCAAUGUAGCAGGAUGUAGCUGUCUCAAAAUAAAAAGAGCUCAUUGGUGGAGUGCUUGCCCAACACAUGUGAGGCCCUGGAUUCAAUCCCGAGUACCUCCCCUCUCAGGGCAAAGUUUUAAUUACUUUCUUCCAUUUGGGGGUGGGGAGGAAAACAUUGUUAGAAUGUCCUACUGUUGAUGAGAUGCUAGCAUUAAACAGUUGUCUUUGUUUUUAAUUUUCUUACUUGACAGAAUAAAAUGUUAAUAAAACUAUAUUAAGUCUAAGUAACAUUUUUUAUUUUACCAAAUGUGAUAUCUAGUCUGCAAAACAUAUUGUAACUAACCAUAUCCAGC